This is a long non-coding RNA of Homo sapiens (human), 1764 nucleotides long. The record is from Ensembl. NCBI's taxonomy places the organism in Eukaryota, Metazoa, Chordata, Mammalia, Primates, Hominidae.
UUUUGUAGAGAUGGGGUUUUGCCAUGUUGCCUGGGCUGAUUGUGAACUUCUAGGCUCAAGCCAUCUGCCUGCCUUGGCCUCCUAGGAUUACAGGGAGGAUCUGUGGAGCAGCAGCAUUGGAAUUACCUGAGACCUUAUGAGAAAUGCAGACUACCGGGCUCCACUUCAUUCUUAGUGAGUCACAAGACUCACUAAGAUCUUAACAAGAUCCUCAGAUAACUGGAGGUUUGUGCAGCUAAAAUAUCUGACUCCUAAAAUGGAGUUUCCUGAAAUUAUUCCUUACUCAUAGUGUAAUGAGGUGUACGUGUUGGAUCUAUUAUAACUUUCUUUCACUCCAUCUCUCAGAAUAGAUGAUCAUCCUCAUCUUUGCAUCAUAUUCCAAUUAGAAAGGGAUGAUACAACAAGAAAGCUCUCGUAAGAUGUCAGCUGCUUGAUUUUGGACUUCGCAAACUCUAGAACUUUUCUCUUGCUUGCUCCUGCCAUGUAAGAAGUGCCUUUCGUUUCCGGCCAUGAUUCUGAGGCCUCCCCAGCUGUGUGGAACUAAAUUAUAUGUUCAUUCCAAGGAGUUAAGUCUCAACUGACCAUGGAAAGAAUAUGGCAGAUAUAACAGCACGUAAUUUCCAAGGCAAGGUCAUAAAAGACAUUGUAGCUUCUGCCUUGUCCCUUCCUCUUGGAUCUCUUGCUAUGGAGUAGCAGCCCCAUGAAGACACCCGUGGUGGAAGAUCACUGAGGACUCCUGCCAACAGCCACCCAGUGACUGAGGCCUCUUGCAGAAAUCCAUAUGAGUGGGCCAGCUGACAAGAAAAUCUUCCAGCUCUAGUCAAGCCUUCAGGUGAGCAAUGAGACUUAUGGAAACAAAUCUGCCUAAUGCCAUUUAGCUAGUAAACACAAAGAGAAGUCCAGAACCUAGCCCUCUUUGACCUCUCUGUCCACACUCUCAGCUACUAGAGGAUGGAGACUGGCAGGAGAAAAGCAGAAGGUUCUGGAGUCCAGAAAUUGUGAGCAUAUCAGCAUUAAGUACCACUGAGGUGGCAAUGCACACUUCAACUUCUUCUUCAGUCACAAAGAGUUACAUCUCAUCACAGACAAAUGAUACGCACAAACGGGACACAUAUGCAGCCACUCCUAGAGCUCAUGAAGUUUCAGAAAUUUCUGUUAGAACUGUUUACCCUCCAGAAGAGGAAACCGGAGAAAGGGUACAACUUGCCCAUCAUUUCUCUGAACCAGAGAUAACACUCAUUAUUUUUGGGGUGAUGGCUGGUGUUAUUGGAACGAUCCUCUUAAUUUCUUACGGUAUUCGCCGACUGAUAAAGAAAAGCCCAUCUGAUGUAAAACCUCUCCCCUCACCUGACACAGACGUGCCUUUAAGUUCUGUUGAAAUAGAAAAUCCAGAGACAAGUGAUCAAUGAGAAUCUGUUCACCAAACCAAAUGUGGAAAGAACACAAAGAAGACAUAAGACUUCAGUCAAGUGAAAAAUUAACAUGUGGACUGGACACUCCAAUAAAUUAUAUACCUGCCUAAGUUGUACAAUUUCAGAAUGCAAUUUUCAUUAUAAUGAGUUCCAGUGACUCAAUGAUGGGGAAAAAAAUCUCUGCUCAUUAAUAUUUCAAGAUAAAGAACAAAUGUUUCCUUGAAUGCUUGCUUUUGUGUGUUAGCAUAAUUUUUAGAAUUGUUUGAGAAUUCUGAUCCAAAACUUUAGUUGAAUUCAUCUACGUUUGUUUAAUAUUAACUUAACCUAUUCUAUUGUAUUAUAAUGAUGAUUC